UACGAACGCUGGCGGCGUGCUUAACACAUGCAAGUCGAACGGUAAGGCCCUUCGGGGUACACGAGUGGCGAACGGGUGAGUAACACGUGGGUGAUCUGCCCUGCACUUCGGGAUAAGCCUGGGAAACUGGGCCUAAUACCGGAUAGGACCACUGCCUACAUGGGUGGUGGGGGAAAGCUUUUGUGGUGUGGGAUGGGCCCGCGGCCUAUCAUCUGGUUGGUGGGGUGAUGGCCUACCAAGGCGACGACGGGUAGCCGGCCUGAGAGGGUGACCGGCCACACUGGGACUGAGAUACGGCCCAGGCUCCUACGGGAGGCAGCAGUGGGGAAUAUUGCACAAUGGGCGCAAGCCUGAUGCAGCGACGCCGCGUGAGGGAUGACGGCCUUCGGGUUGUAAACCUCUUUCAGCACCGACGAAGCGCAAGUGACGGUAGGUGCAGAAGAAGGACCGGCCAACUACGUGCCAGCCGCCGCAGUAA
This 478-nucleotide ribosomal RNA is filed under the name uncultured bacterium. RNAcentral describes it as "partial 16S ribosomal RNA". It matches the Rfam family "Bacterial small subunit ribosomal RNA", at positions 29 to 523 of the family's 1533-position model. The record is from RNAcentral.